Long non-coding RNA from Pocillopora damicornis (cauliflower coral), 211 nucleotides. Lineage: Eukaryota; Metazoa; Cnidaria; Anthozoa; Scleractinia; Pocilloporidae. The record is from RefSeq and is a predicted model, not a curated record.
AACACAGUGGAUCAUAUUGUCACUUUCUUUAAACCUCCAAAAGAUGUCCAUCUCCAGGAGUUGUCAGCCGAGGCAUACUCAAGACUAGAAGAUCUGAAGUCAGUAUCCAAAGCAAGUCUGUAUUAUGCAAUUGAACACCACAAGAUAACAGAUGUGAAUGUGGAUGUGAAGUCUCCAUUUAUCAUUAUACCAGAGGAAGGCACCUUUAAGA